RNAcentral lists this ribosomal RNA (496 nucleotides) under uncultured bacterium. RNAcentral describes it as "partial 16S ribosomal RNA". It matches the Rfam family "Bacterial small subunit ribosomal RNA", at positions 29 to 507 of the family's 1533-position model. The record is from RNAcentral.
AUGAACGCUGGCGGCGUGCCUAAUACCUGCAAGUCGCGCGCACGGACGAGAAGCUUGCUUCUCUGAUGUUAGCGGCGGACGGGUGAGUAACACGUGGAUAACCUACCUAUAAGACUGGGAUAACUUCGGGAAACCGGAGCUAAUACCGGAUGAUAUUUUGAACCGCAUGGUUCAAAAGUGAAAGACGGUCUUGCUGUCACUUAUAGAUGGAUCCGCGCUGCAUUAGCUAGUUGGUAAGGUAACGGCUUACCAAGGCAACGAUGCAUAGCCGACCUGAGAGGGUGAUCGGCCACACUGGAACUGAGACACGGUCCAGACUCCUACGGGAGGCAGCAGUAGGGAAUCUUCCGCAAUGGGCGAAAGCCUGACGGAGCAACGCCGCGUGAGUGAUGAAGGUCUUCGGAUCGUAAAACUCUGUUAUUAGGGAAGAACAUAUGUGUAAGUAACUGUGCACAUCUUGACGGUACCUAAUCAGAAAGCCACGGCUAACUACGUG